This 253-nucleotide ribosomal RNA is filed under the name uncultured bacterium. RNAcentral's name for it is "partial 16S ribosomal RNA". It matches the Rfam family "Bacterial small subunit ribosomal RNA", at positions 524 to 776 of the family's 1533-position model. The record is from RNAcentral.
UACGUAGAUGGCGAGCGUUAUCCGGAAUGACUGGGCGUAAAGGGUGCGUAGGCGGUUUAAUAAGUCAGAUGUGAAAGUCCCGAGCUUAACUUGGGGAUUGCAUUUGAAACUAUUAGACUUGAGUGCGGGAGAGGAAAGUGGAAUUCCUAGUGUAGCGGUGAAAUGCGUAGAUAUUAGGAGGAACACCAGUGGCGAAGGCGACUUUCUGGACCGUAACUGACGCUGAGGCACGAAAGCGUGGGGAGCAAACAGG